GUCCCCGUAGCUCAGCUGGAUAGAGCGAAGGUUUCCUAAACCUUAGGUCGCGUGUUCGACUCACGCCGGGGAUA
Molecule: transfer RNA, 74 nt
Filed under: Candidatus Omnitrophota bacterium
Lineage: Bacteria; Pseudomonadati; Candidatus Omnitrophota
Also listed under: 1 other name
Description: tRNA-Arg
Rfam family: tRNA
About the family: Transfer RNA (tRNA) molecules are approximately 80 nucleotides in length. Their secondary structure includes four short double-helical elements and three loops (D, anti-codon, and T loops). Further hydrogen bonds mediate the characteristic L-shaped molecular structure. tRNAs have two regions of fundamental functional importance: the anti-codon, which is responsible for specific mRNA codon recognition, and the 3' end, to which the tRNAs corresponding amino acid is attached (by aminoacyl-tRNA synthetases). tRNAs cope with the degeneracy of the genetic code in two manners: having more than one tRNA (with a specific anti-codon) for a particular amino acid; and 'wobble' base-pairing, i.e. permitting non-standard base-pairing at the 3rd anti-codon position.
Source: RNAcentral